Molecule: ribosomal RNA, 295 nt
Filed under: uncultured bacterium
Lineage: Bacteria
Description: partial 16S ribosomal RNA
Rfam family: Bacterial small subunit ribosomal RNA
Source: RNAcentral
AUGGCCUACGGGAGGCAGCAGUGGGGAAUAUUGGGCAAUGGGCGCAAGCCUGACCCAGCAACGCCGCGUGAAGGAAGAAGGCUUUCGGGUUGUAAACUUCUUUUCUGAGGGACGAAGCAAGUGACGGUACCUUAGGAAUAAGCCACGGCUAACUACGUGCCAGCAGCCGCGGUAAUACGUAGGUGGCAAGCGUUAUCCGGAUUUACUGGGUGUAAAGGGCGUGUAGGCGGGAAAGCAAGUCAGAUGUGAAAACCACGGGCUCAACCUGUGGCCUGCAUUUGAAACUGUUGUUCUU